UAGGUGCUGCAAGACAUUAAGCAUGGUACAAGUCAUUGUUAGACUUGCAUGUCAGGCAUCACAUCACAGUAUUUUCACACUUUAUAUACCGGGUUCAAUUGCGCGAAUAUCAUCUACUUGUUCAUCAAUGGGUAUCAAGUUUGCGUUGUAUUCUUCAGCAUGUUUUACGCUCGUCUGAUCUGCAAUACAUUAUGCAAGAAGCGCAAUAUUAGCAGAAAAGCAAGUAUUCAUAGUACAGUGAACACUACCUGUAGCUAUGGCGUCUUCUUGUUCAUGUUCACCGGCUUUGCUUCUUGCAUUACCCAUUCGCAAAUGAAAUGACCGCUAGCUCUGGUGUUUUUGAGGCCUGGGAGAUGAUCAGAUGGAUAUAAUAGAUGCAACAUGAACGCAAGAGAGAUGGCGAACUUGAAGGCAUGAAUAAGAAGUUCGUAGAUUCACUCAUGCUUGUGCCUCCUGCCCGACUUGUUCUACUUACCGGACUUCUUCAGGCUACUUCAUCUAUGAGAUGACUUCGCUGAAGCAUGCAUUCAAAGCAUUUUCAGGCCAGCCCUCCACCUUUCUUCUAAGGAUCAUGGUGCUCCAACUGGACCCAGGCUACGACAAAGUAUCCAAAGUGUGUAUGCGAUGGCUGUGUGUAUGUGCUGGCAGUGUGUAUGCGAUGGCAGGCUACGACAAAGUAUUUAAUGUGUGUAUGCGAUGGCUGUGUGUAUGUGCUGGCAGUGUGUAUGCGAUGGCAGGCUACGACAAAGUAUCCAAUGUGUGUAUGCGAUGGCAGUGUGUAUG
Long non-coding RNA from Triticum dicoccoides, 783 nucleotides. RefSeq lists it as uncharacterized. The record is from RefSeq and is a predicted model, not a curated record. NCBI's taxonomy places the organism in Eukaryota, Viridiplantae, Streptophyta, Magnoliopsida, Poales, Poaceae. The transcript has 4 exons.